GUGCGUCUACUCCACAAAAUAGACCGCAUUCUGCCAAAAAAGGAGGAUAAAACACAUCCGCAAGGCUUGCGGUGCGGCAGUGUGGAGACCUGUCGCAAUGCGUCGCGCGUAAGCGGACGCGAGACAUGGGCAAGCGGAGGCUCCCGUGUCAAAGCCGGUUGCAUGGCA
RNAcentral lists this non-coding RNA (168 nucleotides) under human gut metagenome. Its description in RNAcentral is "malK-I RNA". It matches the Rfam family "malK-I RNA". The record is from RNAcentral.